UCGAGUACAGCAACCCGUCCCCAGUUUAUUGGAUAACAGGACGGAUUGUUGUACUUGG
RNAcentral lists this microRNA precursor (58 nucleotides) under Cordylochernes scorpioides. The record is from RNAcentral. Lineage: Eukaryota; Metazoa; Arthropoda; Arachnida; Pseudoscorpiones; Chernetidae.